AUGAACUCAAGCAGGAGCACCUGGACUUCACGAUCGCCCACACAAGCUAGAAGACCACGAAUGGAUCUCUCGGUCAUAUGCAAGUACAUUUAUUAUCCGUGUACAAUUUGGGAUGCGUCUCGUAACUGCUACCGGCCUCUCUGUCUCCUAAACAGCCCGGAUGUUUUCUUUACAUCAGCAUACUCAGCGAUAGCGGUUUGGAAUUUAACGCCGGCAGGAAUGGGAGAGCUGCUGCUGCAUGGACACGCAGGAGCAGCAGGGGACGGUGCCAGGAGGGAUGCUCGUCUCCUGGGGCGAGAGAAGAGCCGAGGUGUUUCCCGUUCAAGCCUGGGCGACGCCAUGGCCCGGCAGCACAAGAAGGAAAAGUUAAUUGCUAAUCGAGCUGCUCUUUCAUGCCGACUGCAGAUACGCAGCCCUGUCCCUCCCCGCCUUGCCGAUACACAGGCUAAAAAAAAAGGGAUAAAAGGGGGAAAAGUGCAGCAAGCAGCGCAGGACCCCACUUACUGCUCCCUGCUAGGAAAGGUCCUACAGAAAGACGCCYGGCGCUCCUGGAGCGAGCCAUCGGGGCUCUUCCGUCUGCAAACCGAGCGCGAUCGAGUCAUAAGCAGCUCCUUUCCUGCCCUUAGCCGGGGCUGUUUGUCACGCGCGCACCCGGCUGCUCCUUUCCUACGGAGCAAAGGGAUGAACGGGACGAGCUGCAGCGGUGCUGCUGCCCCAGCUUGCCGGGGAGGCGAAGAGUCUCCUCCCAAAGCAACGGACGGGGAAGCAGCGCGUCUAACGCGCAUCCUACGCCCCUGGAUCUUGAAAUCAAGUUCUCAGCCAGCACAACAGUGGGUUAGAGGAGCGGAGACACCGGAAAGGGGGAAAGUAGAGGGGGGAGCACAGGCUGCAAGUAGAAGGGAGAUAGGAGACAGGGCACAACUAUGUUCACUAGAGUAUAAACCUUUUUCUCCCCCCCUUUUUCUUAAAAAAUGGCUGGUUCUUGGAGAUCUCACCGCUUAA
This 1002-nucleotide long non-coding RNA is filed under the name Apteryx owenii (little spotted kiwi). RNAcentral's name for it is "lncRNA (ENSAOWG00000012414.1)". Lineage: Eukaryota; Metazoa; Chordata; Aves; Apterygiformes; Apterygidae. The record is from RNAcentral.